GGGUAUAUGGCUUAGUGGUAGAGUACUUGCCUGGAAUGCAUGAAGUCCUGGGUUUGAUUCCUCAGUACCA
This 70-nucleotide transfer RNA is filed under the name Dipodomys ordii (Ord's kangaroo rat). It matches the Rfam family "tRNA". From Rfam's summary of the family: Transfer RNA (tRNA) molecules are approximately 80 nucleotides in length. Their secondary structure includes four short double-helical elements and three loops (D, anti-codon, and T loops). Further hydrogen bonds mediate the characteristic L-shaped molecular structure. tRNAs have two regions of fundamental functional importance: the anti-codon, which is responsible for specific mRNA codon recognition, and the 3' end, to which the tRNAs corresponding amino acid is attached (by aminoacyl-tRNA synthetases). tRNAs cope with the degeneracy of the genetic code in two manners: having more than one tRNA (with a specific anti-codon) for a particular amino acid; and 'wobble' base-pairing, i.e. permitting non-standard base-pairing at the 3rd anti-codon position. Lineage: Eukaryota; Metazoa; Chordata; Mammalia; Rodentia; Heteromyidae. The record is from Rfam by way of RNAcentral.